GGUGGCCUGGCCCUCCCCACUACCUCCUGCAGACUUUGAGAAGCCCACAGUGGAGACAUCCACCACCCCAGCCAUGGGCCAUACGGGGGUGCUGACCUGCUGCCCGGCUGGAACUGGGGGUGCUCGGCAGUGCUGAAGGAGCCUGGGAAGGGAUGGAGGAUACAGGCAAGCCCACGUCUUGAGAGAGGUGGCUGGAGCCCCGGCACAGAGACUGAAUGCUGGGGUCCCUUCCUGGGACCAAGAUGGAGAAGGUGUUCCUAAGACAGGAGACAGAAGGAGGCUGCCGAAGGCUCUGUGCGGUCAUCACCACUCUGCAUCAGCUGCCCUUCCAAGAAGCUUCUGCUGCUGCUCCUCCUCCCAGCCCCGGCCCAUUCCUCCCCUGCAGUCUGAGGAGGCAAAGGUACGUGCACGGGGCACAUUGACAGGACACGGAGGACCACCUCAUCACGGGGUUCCCUGCAUGGGGAUCUGUAAAGAGAAAGUUUCUGCACCCACCAGAGCAAGAGCCAACUGAAAGCGUAGACCUGAGAAGAGGUAACUCAUUCCCUUCCUGCUCCUCUGCCCUCAUCAGAUGUCCCCAGGAGCAGCAGGGCAGAGGCCCUUCUUUCUAUUCUUACAAGGGCAGCUAGAGCGUGCUCACUCAGGGCUCAUCAAAUGAGACUCAUGUGCAUUUUUCAGAAGGAAACCUUGGUUAGUCCUUGCUGGGUAACACAAAGUGGGGUGAGACAGAAGCCGAAUUCAUGGAAGGGGGGUCUUCUCCCCAAAACUCUGUGUGGUGGGAAACCAGCUAUACCUCCCCAAGCCCCAGGGCCUAAAGAGAAGACCCCCAAAGCCAAAGAUGUGGCCACUUAAAAGCAUCUCCUGCCUCCUACCCAACUGAGUGCCUGGGCCCCCAGCUUGGCCAAGAUGGGCAGUACGUUAGGGUAAGAACCCCAUGCUUCAAACUUAUGGACUGACCAUCACCUGCGUCCCAAGUAGGACCCUUCCUCCCUUCUCGGGGCUGCCCCUGCACCCUGCCUUGAACACCACCCAAGCGGCCUCCAGUGUGGGCCUGGCCCAGACAUUGCAGAUGCUUCAACCGUGAUGUCGCCCCAGGCCUGCCAGGGGUGUGGUGGAGGGGAAGGCCACGUGCUCCAGGGAGAAGCCCUUUCUGGAGAAGCAAGGCUGUCCUCCCAGGGCUGCCACUACCUGAGACCUGGGGGAGCUGAAUUCCGAACAGCGAUGGUGACACUCAGCACCUUUGCCAUAGCCGGGGGGAACCGGCUUCUGCCUCUGGGAUGGGCUCUCAUCAGGACCACCGUGCAGCCCAGCCAGGGAGGACAUGAGAAGGGCCAGUGGGGGCCUCAAUGAACCAGAACAAGCCAAGCUGAAUGGGGUCUGUGUGCUCCAGGGCCCUCUUCAGCCCCCUCCCCCAAAGGUCUGGGUCCCUGCCACCAACCUACUGAAGGCCGGCCCCCAGCUCACCUCACCUGAGCACCUGCACCAGGCCCCAGGCACAUGGCUGCCCUGAACUCAGAUCACCUAGACCUUGUCCCUGCCCCACCUUUGCCCCAUCCUAGCCCCAGAAGCUCCAAACUUCACCGCAGGUGAGAAAUUGUGCUCAAUGGGCAGAAACUGCUAUACCCCCAGGGCAUGGCCCACAUUUUGGCAUGAGGGUGUCUUUCCAGAGAGCUUGGGUUGGCUGGAGAGAGGCUGUCUUUCCCAUUCCUUGUCCAGCUAGGAAUAAAGGGGAAAUGGUCCUAGCCUGGUCCCUACACACCCAGGUCCCACAGGCCCCCUCCCCACUGGAAUUUCACCAACCAACAAGGGGAAAAAGUACGCUGUUACAGCAUAGCGGUCAGGCCCAGCAGGAGCUUGGCACAUGAUGGGGAGGUGGCCAGCUCCAGGCCCUGCCCGACCCCAUCAUGUGUAUUUGGUGUAUGGGGUGUGGGGGUCACACCAGAAGCUGGCCUGGGGUCUCUUCUUCGCUGGACACAGCUCCCUGGCGCCUGCCCCCAGCCCCUGCAGCUCCUGCCGGACUGUGGAAGCCACAUAUGGGAAAAGUCCUGGCAGACAAUGUGGCGGGAUGACUGGGGGCUUCUCCCUCUGAACCUGGGUCCAGUGUAGCCUGGCUCUGAGAGAAGGUGGUGAGCAUGUGGAGAAGGUUCCAUAGUCCACUCUUAGGGGAACCAGCAAAGCCUCACGGCAGUUGGCUCCAUCUGGACCUCCCAUGGUCACUGCAGGACGGUGGAGCAGGGGGCAUCUUUUAGCCUCCCCCCGCCACCACAUCCAGGCCCUCUCAGGCACCUCCUGCCUCAGCCCACACCUGCCUCACCCAUUGCCCCCCUCCCCCCACCUACUGCCAUCCCACUCCUCUGCCAGCCACUUCCCAGCCGCCCCACCCCACUCCAUCCACCAAAUCACCUCCUGACUUAAUCCUUUCUGGAAGGAGCUGCCGCCCGGGAACCGGUAUUGCCUAGAGCCUCCAGGAGGGGCCCUCCUCGGGCCUCCAGUGGCCCCAUGCCCACCUGCCUGACCCUCCACUGCCCCUGGAAGCAAAGUGCCUAUCAGCAGCGUUGCGUCCUCUGGGGCCCCCGGUCGGGGGGGAGGGGGUGUGGGCUAACCUUGGCCACCACCACUAAAGGAAUGUGCCAGAAUGCUGAACCUUCUUGUUAAUGCUAUGACCGUGCCUUGAAUAAACAAGUCCUCCCAACCUCUCCUGGCCCCUGCCUCUCUGCCUCUGCAUCUGGGCCAGCCUGGCCUUGCUCCGCUGUGCAGUGGAGAGAACUUUCUGGUCCUUGAGCUACCCAGGAAGCCAGCAGGGCAGCCCCGAGGAGCAGCAGAAGUCUCUGGUGAGUGCUGAGCCCCAUGAGCAGGCCACUGGGCUAGGCUAGUGGCCAGACUUCAAAACACACAGAUUUCAGGUGAGGCCCCAGGAAGAGCGGCAGACAGGGCUCAGGUCUGCAAGAGGAUGAGGGUGGGGGACUUGGGGGAUGGGGGAGGUGGAGGAGAGGUUGGCACGAGGGAAGUGUGCGGGGCAGCCAGGUGGGAUAAGAAACACCCGUUAGCAAAGGCUGUUAUAACUGUGGCAAGGAGACAACAGUUCCCUGCCCUGGUGGACACAUCUCAGGGUCAGGAGACCGGUUCUGUCCCUUCCUCCAGCAGCUGCAUGACCCAGGCUGGUCAUCUCAUCCAGACAGUAGGGCUGGGAGGACAUGAGGCGGACUGUUCUGCUUCGUGACUGAGCAGAGCAGAUUUGAGGGCAGAAGAUGGGAAUCUUGUGGGUGUGUUGAGUAGGGGGAGACUUCCUCCCGCAGUGCUCCCUAUGGGGACAGAGGAUGACAGUCUCAGGGUGGCUGCCUAAGGACUCUUUCCUGCAUCAUCCUCACUGGGUCCUCUCCGCAAGCUUCCACGGUCCAUCAGUGGCCAUUGACUCAAAGUCUACCAAGGUGUGGGCCUGGGUGUGGGAUCAAGACCCGUCCACUUGUCCCCUCUCCCCCUCAAAACAAUUAUUUUCCAAGUCAAGUCAGCCCUUAAAAUCCACAAGGGCUGCUUCGCAGGAGAGAAGCCAUGAAGACUCCCUGACUGGACGGGACGGGGCUGCGCCCUGCUGCUGCCUCUCAUGGUCCCCUCCCAGGGGCCGGCAGCUCCAGGGUCCCCAGAUGGCAGGCCUGGGACACUCUGUGGUUCAGCAGACCUUUCAAGGGCCUUUUAUCAGGCAGAGACUGAGAAAGAGACAGAAAAACAAGCCGAAGAGGGAGGGCGGUCGCCCCAAGGAUGGAAUGUCCUCCAGGGAGCAAUGGUGAGGGGAAAUGGCAAGAGGGGCCAGGCCAAAGUGAAAGAGUGAAGAGACACAAUCAAAUGCGAAGUGUGCAUCCUGAGUUGAACAAACCAACUGCAGAGAGACGUCUGGGAAAUCUACACGUGGAUGAAUGUGGGCCAUCAGGGAAUUUGAAUUAGGUGGUGAUGAGGAGAUACCGUUCGUCUUGUUAGAUAUAUUGAUGGCGUGGCUUCAUAUGUGAAAUAAAGUGCCAGCUAGAAAUUCAUAUGGAAGAAUUUACAGGUAAAAGAACAUGAAGUCUUGGAUUUGCUUAAAAACUCUCCAGCAAAAACAAAGAAACAAAAACAAAAAUGGGAGGGGGGUGUGGUUGGG
Molecule: long non-coding RNA, 4132 nt
Filed under: Pan troglodytes (chimpanzee)
Lineage: Eukaryota; Metazoa; Chordata; Mammalia; Primates; Hominidae
Description: long non-coding RNA NONPTRT004868
Source: RNAcentral